GCGAACGGUUGGCCUGCUGCAGAUGUAAUACAUGGGGUGCAAUCGGUGUUCGGAAUUAUUGGGAGUAAAGGGAGUGUAGGGUGCUGUUUAAGUCUUCUGUGAAAUCUACGGGCUCAGCCUGUAACGUGCAGAGGAAACUGGCGAGCUGGAGUGUCGGAGAGGAUAGGGGAAUACCCGGUGUAGAGGUGAAAUUCGUAGAGAUCGGGUGGAACACCAGUGGCGAAGGCGCCUAUCUGGCUGACAACUGACGCUGAGACUCGAAAGCAUGGGGAGCAAACAGGAUUAGAUACCCGGGUAGUC
This 300-nucleotide ribosomal RNA is filed under the name uncultured Archaeoglobus sp. RNAcentral's name for it is "bacterial SSU rRNA". It matches the Rfam family "Bacterial small subunit ribosomal RNA", at positions 496 to 795 of the family's 1533-position model. The record is from RNAcentral. Lineage: Archaea; Methanobacteriati; Methanobacteriota; Archaeoglobi; Archaeoglobales; Archaeoglobaceae.